GAUGAAGAACGCAGCGAAAUGCGAUAAGUAGUGUGAAUUGCAGAAUUCAGUGAAUCAUCGAAUCUUUGGACGCACAUUGCGCCCCUUGGUAUUCCAUGGGGCAUGCCUGUUCGAGCGUCAUUUGUACCUUCAAGCUCUGCUUGGUGUUGGGUGUUUGUCUCGCCUCUGCGUGUAGACUCGCCUCAAAACAAUUGGCAGCCGGCGUAUUGAUUUCGGAGCGCAGUACAUCUCGCGCUUUGCACUCAUAACGACGACGUCCAAAAGUACAUUUUUACACUCUUGACCUCGGAUCAGGUAGGGAUACCCGCUGAACUUAAGCAUAUCAAUAAGCGGAGGA
This 337-nucleotide unclassified non-coding RNA is filed under the name soil metagenome. RNAcentral describes it as "partial contains 5.8S ribosomal RNA, internal transcribed spacer 2, and large subunit ribosomal RNA". The stretch from base 1 to 120 matches the Rfam family "5.8S ribosomal RNA", at positions 35 to 154 of the family's 154-position model. The record is from RNAcentral.